CGGCCGCGUCGACCGAUAACGGUCCUAAGGUAGCGAAAUUCCUUGUCGGGUAAGUUCCGACCUGCACGAAUGGUCUAAUGAGUUGUACACUGUCUCCUCCACGAGCCCGGUGAAAUUGUAGUAUCGGUGAAGAUGCCGGUUACCCGUCACGGGACGGAAAGACCCCAUGAACCUUCACUACAACUUUGCAUUGAUUUUGAAUUUUUGAUGUGUAGGAUAGUUGGGAGACUUUGAAGCUCUGUCGCCAGGCAGGGUGGAGUCAACGUUGAAAUACCAACCUUUAAACAUUUAGAAUCUAAUCCCUUACGGGAAACAGUGCAUGGUGGGUAGUUUGACUGGGGUGGUCGCCUCCUAAAGUGUAACGGAGGCUUGCAAAGGUUCCCUCAGUACGGUUGGUAAUCGUACAUAGAGCGUAUUAGUAUAAGGGAGCUUGACUGUGAGACUUACAAGUCGAGCAGGGACGAAAGUCGGCUAAAGUGAUCCGGCGGUUCUGUAUGGAAGGGCCGUCGCUCAAAGGAUAAAAGGUACUCUCUGGAUAACAGGCUGAUCUCACCCAAGAGCUCAUAUCCGG
Molecule: ribosomal RNA, 571 nt
Filed under: uncultured bacterium
Lineage: Bacteria
Description: bacterial LSU rRNA
Rfam family: Bacterial large subunit ribosomal RNA
Source: RNAcentral